AGGAGGCCGAGGCACGGCACUGACGGCUCCGGCCGUGCAUACCAGGAGAGCAGGCGGUGGUCAGGCGCCAGUUCAUUCCUGAGCAGCUGAGGGGCCCGGCGGAGGGGACAGCGGGUGCUGUUGAGGGCCCCCCCUGCCAGCCCCCAGGGGGCCGAUGCAGACUUGCGAUGGGGUGGGGGUUUAGCAAGAGUCCCACCAUGGUCUGAGUCCAGCACAGCCCCACGGGGUGGCACAUGCCACCGGAGAGGUGUCCCCAUCCCAGGGACGAUGCUGGCACCUGCAGCACCGCUCUAGGUGCCCAGGGCUGUCCCCCCUCUGGGGUGGCUGCUCGCCCGCAGCCUCCCCUCUCUCCUUCCCUGCGCUGGCGCUCGGCCCCGCUGCAACCCGCUGACAAAUCCCGCUGGCAGUUCCUAUGGCAGAAGCCACUUCCCCCCCUGCUAAUCCGCCCGUGCGUGCAGCCUCCACCUGCUGAGCCAGCGGGAGCCGUGCUCAGCCGGCCCCAGCCAGCGCCAGGGCUCCGAACCCCGCUCCAGCUGCAGAGACCGUGGGGCAGCGGAGCCUCCGCACCCCGGCCCCGCUGCCGCAGGAGACCCCGGCCCCGCUUGGCACCAGCCGGCGGCACCAGCUGGCACCAGGAGAGCCGAGCCCUCCAGGUCGGCUCGCACAAGGAAGCAGAGGGACGGCGGGGUGCUGGGGAUCCGCAUGGCUCCCUGCGAGCGGUGACGUGCCCGGCUGGAUCCCUGUGCCAACGGGCAGAGCUCAGGAGGUGGUCACAGACACACUCCCCACCUCGUCCCAGCCAGGUCAUCAGGUGAGCAUCAUCUCCACCCUGCCACCUCCUCCCCUGAAACGCAGGGCACAGAGGUCCUGGGGGGCGUCACCAUUGGGAGCCCUGUGAGCAAUGACCAGAGAACUCCCACCCUGAAAUGGGUCUGCAGCCAGGACCCUGCCCAGCCAGGACAACAAGGGAACAGCAAAGCUAAAACGGUCCCUGAGCCAUUUGCUGAUCUCAGCAAGAGGCUGAGAUGCUUUGUUGAUUAUCAAAGCAUCCAGGAUCGUUGCAGUCUCAUUAUAACCAGAUUCCCAGGAGCCUGCAGUGAUUUUUUUUCCCCCUCUCCAUUGGCUAAUAGGUUAAUAACCUGCUGGCACUUGACAGAGGUCCAGCAUCUUCUGUGUUUCCCUCCAUGUGACUGAUUAAAAUGCCCCUUCUCCCUCUUUCCCAACCCGCCUGUGCUCCGCUGCCUUGUCACACGUGCAGAGAAUUGGAUAUGGCUGCUAAUCAGCUUGCCUGCUCGGACUUUUAAGCACACUGGCUCUCUGUUUCUCUGCUCCGUGGCACUGUGGAGUGGGGCAGAGGCUCUGUGAGCCGAGCAGCCCAUGCCUUCCUACAGGAUGGAGUGGGCAGCACCCAAUGAAUGGAAAUGCUGUCACUGUGAGUCACGGGUGGAAAGGGAAGGGUGGUUUUGUGAUGGAAAGGGGAGCCGGAUGGUUUGCAGCUCCCCAACCUCAGCCCUGCUGACAGCCUCGCUGUGCCUCAGUUUCCCCUGCCCCUAGCACAGGCACAGUAGAGGGAAAGGGAAAUCUCAUGGUAGAGGAGGGCUGGUGGGUGAGUAAUAUAUAGUAAGUAUAGUAAGUAAGUAAUGUAUAGUUGCAAAGCGCUUGCAAAUCUCUGGAGGAAAACGUUCCAUGAGGGUGCCAAGAUGCUGGAGACACUAAGUGCCUGCAAACGCUGCCUGGCUCCUCAGGCCCUAGAACUCAAAUAUUGCCCAAGAGGCACGGAAAAUAUUCCUUCAGCUCGUAUGAUGCAUUGCCCACAGCCUGGAAUAAAUCUCCCUUUCUUUCUGCUCGUGCUUUCCA
This 1857-nucleotide long non-coding RNA is filed under the name Calidris pugnax (ruff). RNAcentral's name for it is "lncRNA (ENSCPUG00000002143.1)". Lineage: Eukaryota; Metazoa; Chordata; Aves; Charadriiformes; Scolopacidae. The record is from RNAcentral.